AGAGCUUGCUCUUAUGACGUUAGCGGCGGACGGGUGAGUAACACGUGGGUAACCUGCCCAUAAGACUGGGAUAACUCCGGGAAACCGGGGCUAAUACCGGAUAACAUUUUGAACCGCAUGGUUCGAAAUUGAAAGGCGGCUUCGGCUGUCACUUAUGGAUGGACCCGCGUCGCAUUAGCUAGUUGGUGAGGUAACGGCUCACCAAGGCAACGAUGCGUAGCCGACCUGAGAGGGUGAUCGGCCACACUGGGACUGAGACACGGCCCAGACUCCUACGGGAGGCAGCAGUAGGGAAUCUUCCGCAAUGGACGAAAGUCUGACGGAGCAACGCCGCGUGAGUGAUGAAGGCUUUCGGGUCGUAAAACUCUGUUGUUAGGGAAGAACAAGUGCUAGUUGAAUAAGCUGGCACCUUGACGGUACCUAACCAGAAAGCCACGGCUAACUACGUGCCACCACCCGCGGUAAUACGUAGGUGGCAAGCGUUAUCCGGAAUUAUUGGGCGUAAAGCGCGCGCAGGUGGUUUCUUAAGUCUGAUGUGAAAGCCCACGGCUCAACCGUGGAGGGUCAUUGGAAACUGGGAGACUUGAGUGCAAAAAAGGAAAGUGGAAUUCCAUGUGUAGCGGUGAAAUGCGUAAAGAUAUGGAGGAACACCAUUGGCGAAGGCAACUUUCUGGUCUGUAACUGACACUGAGGCGCGAAAGCGUGGGGAGCAAACAGAAUUAGAUACCCUGGUAGUCCACGCCGUAAACGAUGAGUGCUAAGUGUUAGAGGGUUUCCGCCCUUUAGUGCUGAAGUUAACGCAUUAAGCACUCCGCCUGGGGAGUACGGCCGCAAGGCUGAAACUCAAAGGAAUUGACGGGGGCCCGCACAAGCGGUUGUAGCAUGUGUUUACUUCGAAGC
Molecule: ribosomal RNA, 900 nt
Filed under: Bacillus cereus
Lineage: Bacteria; Bacillati; Bacillota; Bacilli; Caryophanales; Bacillaceae
Description: bacterial SSU rRNA
Rfam family: Bacterial small subunit ribosomal RNA
Source: RNAcentral